GUCAGGAUGAACGCUGGCGGCGUGCCUAACACAUGCAAGUCGAACGGAGAUUUAACGCUGAUGAGGCUUCGGCGGAAUCUUGUUAAAUCUAGUGGCGGACGGGUGAGUAACGCGUGGGCAACCUGCCUCGUACUGGGGGAUAACAGUUGGAAACGACUGUUAAUACCGCAUAAGCGCACGGUGUCGCAUGACACAGUGUGAAAAACUCCGGUGGUACGAGAUGGGCCCGCGUCAGAUUAGCCAGUUGGUGGGGUAACGGCCUACCAAAGCAACGAUCUGUAGCCGGACUGAGAGGUCGGACGGCCACAUUGGGACUGAGACACGGCCCAAACUCCUACGGGAGGCAGCAGUGGGGGAUAUUGCACAAUGGGCGAAAGCCUGAUGCAGCGACGCCGCGUGAAGUGAAGAAGUAUUUCGGUAUGUAAAGCUCUAUCAGCAGGGAAGAAAGACUCGUAAGAGAGAUGACGGUACCUGACUAAGAAGCCCCGGCUAACUACGUGCCAGCCGCUGC
This 511-nucleotide ribosomal RNA is filed under the name uncultured bacterium. Its description in RNAcentral is "bacterial SSU rRNA". It matches the Rfam family "Bacterial small subunit ribosomal RNA", at positions 23 to 518 of the family's 1533-position model. The record is from RNAcentral.